GGGUUGUUGCUGGUUCUCUUGGGAGCAUGUGCACGCCUUGUCAUCUUUAUAUCUCCACCUGUGCACCCUUUGUAGACCUUCCCAGGUCUAUGUUGCUUCAUUUACCCCAAUGUAUGUUAAUAGAAUGUUGUGACUAUAAAAAUCUAUACAACUUUCAGCAACGGAUCUCUUGGCUCUCGCAUCGAUGAAGAACGCAGCGAAAUGCGAUAAGUAAUGUGAAUUGCAGAAUUCAGUGAAUCAUCGAAUCUUUGAACGCACCUUGCGCUCCUUGGUAUUCCGAGGAGCAUGCCUGUUUGAGUGUCAUUAAUAUAUAUCAACCUCUCUUUUUUGAGUGGCUUGGAUGUGGGGGGGUUUUGCUGGCCUGUUCAGCUCCUCUGAAAUACAUUAGCAGAACAAACCUGUUCAUUGGUGUGAUAACUAUCUACGCUAUUGAAUGUGAGGGGCAGUUCAGCUUUCCAACAGUCCUUGGACAACUUAUCAUUUAUGUGACCUCAAAUCAGGUAGGACUACCCGCUGAACUUAAGCAUAUC
RNAcentral lists this ribosomal RNA (530 nucleotides) under Cortinarius sp. YM254. RNAcentral's name for it is "eukaryotic LSU rRNA". The stretch from base 150 to 303 matches the Rfam family "5.8S ribosomal RNA". Lineage: Eukaryota; Fungi; Basidiomycota; Agaricomycetes; Agaricales; Cortinariaceae. The record is from RNAcentral.